Molecule: unclassified non-coding RNA, 355 nt
Filed under: soil metagenome
Description: partial contains 5.8S ribosomal RNA, internal transcribed spacer 2, and large subunit ribosomal RNA
Rfam family: 5.8S ribosomal RNA (bases 1-120)
Source: RNAcentral
GAUGAAGAACGUAGCGAAAUGCGAUAAGUAAUGUGAAUUGCAGAAUUCAGUGAGUCAUCGAAUCUUUGAACGCACAUUGCGCCCAUUAGUAUUCUAGUGGGCAUGCCUGUUCGAGCGUCAUUAAGUCCACUUAAGCCCUGCUUAGUGUUGGGAGACUGCUCCAGCGGUGCUACCCUGUAGCUACCCUGCAGCUCCUCAAAGACAGCGGCGGAGUUGUGGUAUCCUCUGAGCUUAGUAACUUGUUCUAGCUUUCGAGUACACCACUUCCCCUGCCGUAAAACCCUUAAUUUUUAAUGGUUGACCUCGGAUCAGGUAGGAAUACCCGCUGAACUUAAGCAUAUCAAUAAGCGGAGGA